UAAGAAACAAAGAAAAGAUUCUAAUCAAUAAAUAUACAAAACUGAACUUCAGUGUUGUGUUUGUUGAUUGUAUAUAUGUUGAAGUGAGAUUUAUGUUUGGUGAUCAGAAAUAACAAGUAAUGAGAGUUAACAAAUGUUCCUUCACAGUUGAAGACAAUCUACUACUUUUUCCAAACCUCCUGCAGGAUGACAGGGGAUGGCAGCAGGAAGGGUGUGAACCCAGGACCAUCAAGAUAACCAAACCACAGUCCGGUGUGCAUACCACCUGGCCAGACAGCCAUCUUAUGAGCCAUAUAUAAUGGUGCAAGUGACAAAUACAGAAUUGUAGAAAAGGUAUUGAGACAUUUAGCACCACUGUUUAAUACAGGAGUAAAAUGAAGGCAAUAUCCCAUUGCCGCAUUUAAUGUUUGUGGUGAUGUUUAAAUGCAGUCGGUCAAAAGAACAUUUCAGAUUAGGUUGGAUUAGAUCUUCCAAUUUAGUAGGAAAUUUUUUCAUAAUUCACAUGCUGAGUGCCUAUACUUUGUUGUAGAUCGUUUCGAAAAACUUGUUUGCAAAUUUAUUUUUUAAUAAACAAAGUUGAUAAACAACA
This is a long non-coding RNA of Biomphalaria glabrata, 589 nucleotides long. RefSeq lists it as uncharacterized. The transcript has 2 exons. Lineage: Eukaryota; Metazoa; Mollusca; Gastropoda; Planorbidae. The record is from RefSeq and is a predicted model, not a curated record.